CAAGCCCUGGAAACGGGGUCUAAUACCGGAUAUGACACACGGCCGCAUGGUCUGUGUGUGGAAAGCUCCGGUGGUGCAGGAUGAGCCCGCGGCCUAUCAGCUAGUUGGUGGGGUAAUGGCCUACCAAGGCGACGACGGGUAGCCGGCCUGAGAGGGCGACCGGCCACACUGGGACUGAGACACGGCCCAGACUCCUACGGGAGGCAGCAGUGGGGAAUAUUGCACAAUGGGCGAAAGCCUGAUGCAGCGACGCCGCGUGAGGGAUGACGGCCUUCGGGUUGUAAACCUCUUUCAGCAGGGAAGAAGCGAGAGUGGCGGUACCUGCAGAAGAAGCACCGGCUAACCACGUGCCAGCAGCCGCGGUAAUACGUAGGGUGCGAGCGUUGUCCGGAAUUAUUGGGCGUAAAGAGCUCGUAGGCGGCUUGUCACGUCGGAUGUGAAAGCCCGGGGCUUAACCCCGGGUCUGCAUUCGAUACGGGCAGGCUAGAGUUCGGUAGGGGAGAUCGGAAUUCCUGGUG
Molecule: ribosomal RNA, 518 nt
Filed under: uncultured Streptomyces sp.
Lineage: Bacteria; Bacillati; Actinomycetota; Actinomycetes; Kitasatosporales; Streptomycetaceae
Description: bacterial SSU rRNA
Rfam family: Bacterial small subunit ribosomal RNA
Source: RNAcentral